Non-coding RNA from Manis javanica (Malayan pangolin), 961 nucleotides. The record is from RefSeq and is a predicted model, not a curated record. NCBI's taxonomy places the organism in Eukaryota, Metazoa, Chordata, Mammalia, Pholidota, Manidae.
GGCAGUGAAAUGUGUCGUGUUGUUGGUUUUUUUCAUUUUUCUUUCCCCUUUCUCUCUCACACUCUUUGAUUCUCUCUCUGAAAACAUUGUGAAUGGGGCUUUUCAUUAGGCAAAUAUAAGGUAUACUUGGUCAGCAUAUACGUCGUCCCUCUGUUGCUUUUUCCCUUGGAGUUCCUUCUACAAUGGAGGCUGGAUACGGAGCCUCCUCACUCCUUCUCACAGAAUAUGAAGUACCUCGCUGCUUAGUCUCAUAAGUUUCAUUUUACCUUGAAACGAAAAUGUUCUGAAGAUGUCCUUCACAGGAUAUGCAAAUUCAUACAACAAAAACCUUCUUUCGUGUGGAGGGCUGGUCCCAUGCAAGAAUCAGAGCUCACCGGAUGAGAGCAAAGGGUCUGAUGCUUUGAAAAAAGGCCCCCGAUCCAAAUAAUGGAGUAGACGACUUGGUGAAAAAGAGAAAAGGCUGUUUAUGGAUGUAAUGGUUUUCAAGCAAUCUGCCUGCUGCCUUAGGAAAACCUGAAACAGUUUCACCAAGUGGGCAUUACAGAUCAUCUCUCUCACCAGAUGGUUUCUGUAGGCCCAUAAGUGGAUUCAUUAGCUGCGUGGUACAGUGGCAAGAGCCCUCGAUUGCAAUUUGGGAGACUUGGCUCACUAGUAAAAUCGCUAAUCACACCUGUACAUUCUUUCAUCCUAUUUACGAUUCCAUUGAGUUAGAAGCACCAUCACUCAUAAAGCUGAAGAAUGAAAGAUCUGCUAGGUAGAUAUUAUUAAAACCUGACUUUUUCCACAAGGAAACUGAUACUCAGAGAAGUCCUAUGUAUAGUAAUAUGCAAAACUGGGUUAUGAUGCAGGUUUUUUGAUUCCACUGCCCGUGUUCUUUCAUCAGGUCAUGUGGUCAGCCAGAACCUGAGCCACUGAACCAGGUAACAUAAAGUCCCUUUUGAGUUUAUGAUUCUAAAGAUUU